RNAcentral lists this ribosomal RNA (460 nucleotides) under uncultured bacterium. RNAcentral's name for it is "partial 16S ribosomal RNA". It matches the Rfam family "Bacterial small subunit ribosomal RNA", at positions 338 to 795 of the family's 1533-position model. The record is from RNAcentral.
CCUACGGGUGGCAGCAGUGAGGAAUAUUGGUCAAUGGACGAGAGUCUGAACCAGCCAAGUAGCGUGAAGGAUGACUGCCCUAUGGGUUGUAAACUUCUUUUAUAUGGGAAUAAAAUGUUCCACGUGUGGGAUUUUGUAUGUACCAUAUGAAUAAGGAUCGGCUAACUCCGUGCCAGCAGCCGCGGUAAUACGGAGGAUCCGCGCGUUAUCCGGAUUUAUUGGUUUUAAAGGGAGCGUAGGUGGAGUGUUAAGUCAGUUGUGAAAGUUUGCGGCUCAACCGUAAAAUUGCAGUUGAAACUGGCAGUCGUGAGUACAGUAGAGGUGGGCGGAAGUCGUGGUGUAGCGGUGAAAUGCUUAGAUAUCACGAAGAACUCCGAUUGCGAAGGCAGCUCACUGGACUGCAACUGACACUGAGGCUCGAAAGUGUGGGUAUCAAACAGGAGUAGAUACCCGGGUAGUC